UUCUUGCGCCUGUGUUCCCACGUGCGGUGUGAACCUGAGGGCAUCAUGUUAUGAGCAGAUGGGGGCUGCAAUGACUCGCAGGAUCAGGAAUUUCAACCUAGAGAACCGAGCGAAACGGGGAAUCAGCAAGAUGAAGCCCUCUCCUGCUCCCAGGCACCCCUCUACCAACAGCCUCCUGUGAGAGCAGAUUAGUCUAUAUCCAGAAAUUAAGGGAGAGAUUGCUCAUAAAGAUGACAAGCUACUAUCAUUUCUAAAAGAUGUGUAUAUUGAUUCCAAAGACCCUGUAUCUUCUGUGCAGGUAAAAGCUACUGAAACACAUCAAGAGACAAAGGAAUUCAGAUUGCCUUUCGGCCAUGACUUUGAUAUGAUAAAUAUUAAGAGCAUUCCCAAAGGCAAAAUUUCCACUGUAGAAGCACUGACACUUCUCAAUAAUCAUAAACUUUACCCAGAAAUAUGGACUGCUGAGAAAAUAGCCCAAGAAUACCAUUUAGAACAGAAAGAUGUGAAUUUCCUUCUUAAAUAUUUUGUUACUUUUGAAGACCAAAUCUUCCCUCCUGAAGACAAGAAAGCAACACAAUCAAAAUGAAGAAAAUCACAAAAAUGUCCUAUGUGUACUCCUCAUCCUGCAUAUUUUCUCAUUUUUUGCAUAUUAAACUAUGUUAAUUA
This is an RNA transcript of Sapajus apella (tufted capuchin), 666 nucleotides long. It is a transcript of the gene named NADH dehydrogenase [ubiquinone] 1 alpha subcomplex assembly factor 4 pseudogene, with no coding region annotated. The transcript has a single exon. NCBI's taxonomy places the organism in Eukaryota, Metazoa, Chordata, Mammalia, Primates, Cebidae. The record is from RefSeq and is a predicted model, not a curated record.